UCUACAAUAAAACUCUAAAACCAUAGAUGGUC
RNAcentral lists this non-coding RNA (32 nucleotides) under Mus musculus (house mouse). Lineage: Eukaryota; Metazoa; Chordata; Mammalia; Rodentia; Muridae. The record is from RNAcentral.